AUCCAUCCGGUAUUCCACGUCUCACAAUUGAAGCCCUUCGUCCCCGACUAUACACCGGUCUUCUCCGAGCUCCCCAAGGUACCGGACCUCACUGCCAGCGAAGCACAACCAGCUGCCAUCCUGGACCGACGCAUGAUGAAGAGGGGCAACGCUCCAGUCGUGCAGCUCCAAAUCCAGUGGGACAACAUGCCUUCCUCUGCAGCCACCUGGGAAGAUUACGACGUACUACGGCAGCGGUUCCCUACCGCCAGCAUAUGGGAGGAAGACACAUCUCAAGGAGGGGACAAUGUCGCGCCUGC
RNAcentral lists this ribosomal RNA (299 nucleotides) under Triticum aestivum (bread wheat). RNAcentral describes it as "partial small subunit ribosomal RNA". The record is from RNAcentral. Lineage: Eukaryota; Viridiplantae; Streptophyta; Magnoliopsida; Poales; Poaceae.